Molecule: unclassified non-coding RNA, 329 nt
Filed under: soil metagenome
Description: partial contains 5.8S ribosomal RNA, internal transcribed spacer 2, and large subunit ribosomal RNA
Rfam family: 5.8S ribosomal RNA (bases 1-120)
Source: RNAcentral
GAUGAAGAACGUAGCGAAAUGCGAUAAGUAAUGUGAAUUGCAGAAUUCAGUGAAUCAUCGAAUCUUUGAACGCACAUUGCGCCCCCUGGUAUUCCGGGGGGCAUGCCUGUUCGAGCGUCAUUUCACCACUCAAGCCUGGCUUGGUGUUGGGCGACGUCCUCUUUGGGGACGCGCCUCGAAACGCUCGGCGGCGUGGCACCGGCUUUAAGCGUAGCAGAAUCUUUCGCUUUGGAAGUCGGGGCCCCGUCUGCCGGAAGACCUGCUCGCAAGGUUGACCUCGGAUCAGGCAGGGAUACCCGCUGAACUUAAGCAUAUCAAUAAGCGGAGGA